RNAcentral lists this small RNA (66 nucleotides) under Cytobacillus oceanisediminis. RNAcentral describes it as "Bacillaceae-1 RNA". It matches the Rfam family "Bacillaceae-1 RNA". Lineage: Bacteria; Bacillati; Bacillota; Bacilli; Caryophanales; Bacillaceae. The record is from RNAcentral.
AUUAAAAGAACUCAGACUAAAAACGUCACACCUGUGGCAACGUCUGAGUGGCCCGCAUCGUGCGGA